RNAcentral lists this unclassified non-coding RNA (1070 nucleotides) under Hevea brasiliensis (rubber tree). The record is from RNAcentral. Lineage: Eukaryota; Viridiplantae; Streptophyta; Magnoliopsida; Malpighiales; Euphorbiaceae.
AAAAUUUGAUGCUAAAUAGUUCACUUGUAAAUCAUCAUAUUUGAUUGAAGUUAUGUAAUUUUUAUGAUGAGAAUGGCUCAGUUCAAUCAAUAGAAAAUAGACAGGCCGAGAUCAAUCAUAAAGAGCAUUAGUAACACUAGAAAUUCUUUGGUUUGAUUCAUGGAAUGGAAUAGAACUGUAAUGAAAUGAUAUCAGCCAACACCAAACGAACUAACACUUAGCCAUAAAUUGCCCAGUUUUUUGAACGUGACAAAGAACAACUCAAUCCAUAAUCUCAAACUCCACAUUUUGUGAAAUGUUCAUCGAAUAAGAUCUGAAUCUAAGAACACAGCUAAAGCAAAAUCCAAAUUCAAAGCUUGCCACCGCUCUUGCAUCCUAGAAGCCACAAUCCCUUGUUUUCUAUUUUAUCAGUAGGAGUUCUGCAGUCAGUCAUAUGAGUUGAUCACAGAAAUUUUCUACUCCUCUUGUGAGAUGGGUUUUCUUCUCUUGCCCUGUAGCAGCUGGAGUUUGGUUAAUUCUCCAUUGCGAUUUAGAUCAGGUUUGAUGCAAAAUCUCAACACUUUGGACUGCUGGAAUUAUCUGACCUCCCCCUUACAGAACCAUCCUGAGGGUAAAGAACUCAUGCAACUUGCUGUUUUUAUUUUGUGGCAAACCUGGAAGCGGCGCAAUAAUCUGAUCUUUAAGAAUGUCCCUCAAGACGUUCAACAGAUAGGAUUAGCUGCUCUUCUUCAGUUUCAGGAGUUUAUCUCUGCUCUAGAAUCUACACCUUAGGAUUUGAAUGCUACCACGCCAACUUCUUUGUCAUCUUCUGUUUGGAGCCCUCCUCCAGCACAUUUCAUCAAAGUCAAUUUUGACGCUGCUACUGACAAGCGAGGACAGAAGGAAUUGUUGCCAUGAUUGCUCGAGGAAGGGACUGUUAAUCUUUGAUUUGGAACUGCAGAGCCUAUAAAUCAAUAUUAGACCCGCCGGUUCUCGAACGUUUAGCUUGUAGAGAUGCUAUGAUUAUGGCAAUUCAUAGAGGUUUUAAUUCUUGUAAUUUUUAAGGAGACUCCCGGUGGUGAUUGAAGCAA